CGAAGGGGGCUAGCGUUGUUCGGAAUUACUGGGCGUAAAGCGCGUGUAGGCGGUUGUCCAAGUUGGAUGUGAAAGCCUUGAGCUCAACUCAAGAAUGCAUUCAGGACUGGAUGACUAGAGGACCGGAGAGGAUAGUGGAAUUCCCAGUGUAGUGGUGAAAUACGUAGAGAUUGGGAAGAACACCAGUGGCGAAGGCGGCUAUCUGGACGGUUUCUGACGCUAAGACGCGAAAGCGUGGGGAGCAAACAGGAUUAGAUACCCUGGUAGUCCACGCCGUAAACGAUGGGUGCUAGACGUUGGCGGGCUUGCUCGUCAGUGUCGCAGCUAACGCGUUAAGCACCCCGCCUGGGGAGUACGGCCGCAAGGUUG
Molecule: ribosomal RNA, 369 nt
Filed under: uncultured organism
Description: bacterial SSU rRNA
Rfam family: Bacterial small subunit ribosomal RNA
Source: RNAcentral